CUGCAGCCAGUUAAGCCAACUGUGCUGCCCUCCCCAUGGCAAACAGCAGCCUCCUAGGUAGUGUAUGCAGCCUGUUGCUUGUAUAGGCUACCCUAAGGGACCCUGGAGACAGCC
RNAcentral lists this small nucleolar RNA (114 nucleotides) under Erinaceus europaeus (western European hedgehog). RNAcentral describes it as "Small nucleolar RNA SNORA70". It matches the Rfam family "Small nucleolar RNA SNORA70". Rfam says of the family: snoRNA U70 seems to be exclusive to mammals and is a member of the H/ACA class of snoRNA which contain H (ANANNA) and ACA box motifs. H/ACA box snoRNAs are involved in the conversion of uridines to pseudouridines (5-ribosyluracil) a constituent of structural RNAs (transfer, ribosomal, small nuclear, and small nucleolar). Lineage: Eukaryota; Metazoa; Chordata; Mammalia; Eulipotyphla; Erinaceidae. The record is from Rfam by way of RNAcentral.